This 250-nucleotide ribosomal RNA is filed under the name uncultured bacterium. RNAcentral describes it as "partial 16S ribosomal RNA". It matches the Rfam family "Bacterial small subunit ribosomal RNA", at positions 355 to 598 of the family's 1533-position model. The record is from RNAcentral.
UCGAGAAUUUUUCACAAUGAGCGAAAGCUUGAUGGAGCGACGCCGCGUGGGGGAUGAAUGGCUUCGGCCCGUAAACCCCUGUCAUUCGGGAUCAAUGCCGUUCAGUGAAUAUCUGAACGGUUGAUAGUACCGGAAGAGGAAGGGACGGCUAACUCUGUGCCAGCAGCCGCGGUAAUACAGAGGUCCCAAGCGUUGUUCGGAUUUACUGGGCGUAAAGGGCGCGUAGGUUGCCGGGAAAGUCUGGUGUGAA